UAGUCCACACCGUAAACGAUGAAUGCCAGACGUCAGGGGGCUUGCCCUUUGGUGUCACACCUAACGGAUUAAGCAUUCCGCCUGGGAAGUACGGUCGCAAGAUUAAAACUCAAAGGAAUUGACGGGGGACCCGCACAAGCGGUGGAGCAUGUGGUUUAAUUCGAGGCAACGCGAAGAACCUUACCAGGACUUGACAUCCUUAUCGCGCGCACCAGAGAUGGAGCGUUUCAGUUCGGCUGGAUAAGUGACAGGUGCUGCACGGCUGUCGUCAGCUCGUGUCGUGAGAUGUUGGGUUAAGUCCCGCAACGAGCGCAACCCCUAUCCUUAGUUGCCAACACGUUAUGGUGGGAACUCUAAGGAACCGCCGGCGUUAAGCCGGAGGAAGGUGGGGACGACGGUCAAGUCAUCAUGGCCCUUAUGUCCUGGUCUACACACGUGCUACAAUCGGUGGUCGACAAUGGGUCAAACCAUAAAAGCCAUCUCAGUUCGGAUUGUCGGCUGCAACUCGCGGCA
RNAcentral lists this ribosomal RNA (513 nucleotides) under uncultured bacterium. Its description in RNAcentral is "bacterial SSU rRNA". It matches the Rfam family "Bacterial small subunit ribosomal RNA", at positions 791 to 1320 of the family's 1533-position model. The record is from RNAcentral.